GCCCCCGUGGUCUAAUUGGAUAAGGCGCCUGGCUUCGGACCAGGAGAUUUGAGGGUUCGAGUCCUUCCGGGGGCA
RNAcentral lists this transfer RNA (75 nucleotides) under bacterium. RNAcentral's name for it is "tRNA-Arg". It matches the Rfam family "tRNA". Rfam says of the family: Transfer RNA (tRNA) molecules are approximately 80 nucleotides in length. Their secondary structure includes four short double-helical elements and three loops (D, anti-codon, and T loops). RNAcentral also lists the same sequence under 1 other name. The record is from RNAcentral.